RNAcentral lists this ribosomal RNA (302 nucleotides) under uncultured soil bacterium. Its description in RNAcentral is "bacterial SSU rRNA". It matches the Rfam family "Bacterial small subunit ribosomal RNA", at positions 26 to 329 of the family's 1533-position model. The record is from RNAcentral.
AGGACGAACGCUGGCGGCGUGCUUAACACAUGCAAGUCGAACGGUGAAGGAGAGCUUGCUCUCCGGAUCAGUGGCGAACGGGUGAGUAACACGUGAGUAACCUGCCCUUGACUCUGGGAUAAGCGUUGGAAACGACGUCUAAUACCGGAUACGAGCUUCAGCCGCAUGGCUAGGAGCUGGAAAGAAUUUCGGUCAAGGAUGGACUCGCGGCCUAUCAGCUAGUUGGUGAGGUAAUGGCUCACCAAGGCGACGACGGGUAGCCGGCCUGAGAGGGUGACCGGCCACACUGGACUGAGACACGG